GGCCAAGUUUUUAAGGGCGCACGGUGGAUGCCUUGGCACCAGGAACCGAUGAAGGACGUGGGAGGCCACGAUAGUCCCCGGGGAGCCGUCAACCAGGCUUUGAUCCGGGGGUUUCCGAAUGGGGAAACCCGGCAGUCGUCAUGGGCUGUCACCCAUACCUGAACACAUAGGGUAUGUGGAGGGAACGAGGGGAAGUGAAACAUCUCAGUACCCUCAGGAAGAGAAAACAACCGUGAUUCCGGGAGUAGUGGCGAGCGAAACCGGAUGAGGCCAAACCGUAUGCGUGUGAUACCCGGCAGGGGUUGCGCAUGCGGGGUUGUGGGAUCUCUCUUCUGUCGUCUGCCGGCGACAGGCGAGUCAGAAACCGUUGGUGUAGGCGAAGGACAUGCGAAAGGUCCGGCGUAGAGGGUAAGACCCCCGUAGCUGAAACAUCAACGGCUCGUUUGAGAGACACCCAAGUAGCACGGGGCCCGAGAAAUCCCGUGUGAAUCUGGCGGGACCACCCGCUAAGCCUAAAUAUUCCCUGGUGACCGAUAGCGGAUAGUACCGUGAGGGAAUGGUG
Molecule: ribosomal RNA, 562 nt
Filed under: Streptomyces sp. MAG02
Lineage: Bacteria; Bacillati; Actinomycetota; Actinomycetes; Kitasatosporales; Streptomycetaceae
Description: partial 23S ribosomal RNA
Rfam family: Bacterial large subunit ribosomal RNA
Source: RNAcentral